Molecule: long non-coding RNA, 1061 nt
Organism: Mercenaria mercenaria
Lineage: Eukaryota; Metazoa; Mollusca; Bivalvia; Venerida; Veneridae
Exons: 4
Source: RefSeq, a predicted model, not a curated record
UAAUGAAUAUGCAUGAGUACAAAAUGGCGGCGCCUACUGGAAUUCGGAUGCCUUUGAUGAUACCCUUGUAUCUAUUACCUGCUCAGUCAAGUGUGACAUGUUCACCAUAAGUGUUCCUUCUCAUGAGAAGGAACAAUAAGCUUAACUUAAAUUGGUGGUGUUCGGUCUAAAAUUUUAUACCAUCAGAUACAUGUACUACCCUGAUAUGAAUGGUAAUACUCAUACAGGCCUUAUAUUUGGUUUAGAAAAAUAAUAUGAUGUAAUGCUGACCAAGGUAUUGAUUUAAAAGAUAAGCAUACAUGUGGCUUCAGUGUGAAAGUGAACUUCAAAGAAAUCUGUAGGGAUAGUGAUCACUCAGUUGAUCACUAAGUCAUUGUUUCAAAUCACAUAUACAUAUCUAAAAUGUCAUCAAGAAUAAAAUCAAUAUAUCUUAUAAUAAUUACACUGAAUAGACAUAUUCUAGGUAUCAACAACCCUGAUGAGACAGAUAACAAUAACAGCAACUCCUCUACAAAGAAACUACAUCAUCUGAUAAAAAAUCCAAACAGGAUUGGCAAGGAAUAUCUCCAUUACAGGAUAACCUCACAGGGAUAUUUCAGACACAUCAAGAUAUCUAUGCCUGACAGGACCAAUGACCACAAGAUGCUGUAACUGUUAGCAAACUUGAAAACAGACAAAGCUGCAGGAACGGAUAAGAAGCCACUUGUUCUUUAACAACUUCGAGUUGGAUUGCUCCAAUUCUUGAAGCAUGGCUUCAAGGAGUGUUGCACCUGUGAGAACCAACGGCUGCAAACUUGUUGAUGAAAUUGAAAGAAACAUCACAAAACACCAAAAAUGAUCCAGUGAUAUGUGUGAACUUACUGUACAGCAUAAUAGGUGCAGACAAUGAAGUUCUGAUGUAAAGACAUGUUGGUCUUUGUUCUACAGUUGUGGUGUAUGAGGGGAACAUAGUGUAUGGGAAUCUUGGAAAAAGUUUAAUAAUAUGAAAUUACAGUGAAGCGCAGAAUGGCUACAAACCAUGGACUUCAGAUAUGACGAGAUGCAGGUCUUUAUGCUACUCG